RNAcentral lists this ribosomal RNA (492 nucleotides) under uncultured bacterium. Its description in RNAcentral is "partial 16S ribosomal RNA". It matches the Rfam family "Bacterial small subunit ribosomal RNA", at positions 29 to 507 of the family's 1533-position model. The record is from RNAcentral.
AGUGAACGCUGGCGGCAGGCUUAACACAUGCAAGUCGAACGGCAGCACAGUAAGAGCUUGCUCUUACGGGUGGCGAGUGGCGGACGGGUGAGGAAUACAUCGGAAUCUACUCUUUCGUGGGGGAUAACGUAGGGAAACUUACGCUAAUACCGCAUAUGACCUACGGGUGAAAGCAGGGGAUAUUCGGACCUUGCGCGAUUGAAUGAGCCGAUGUCGGAUUAGCUAGUUGGCGGGGUAAAGGCCCACCAAGGCGACGAUCCGUAGCUGGUCUGAGAGGAUGAUCAGCCACACUGGAGCUGAGACACGGUCCAGACUCCUGCGGGAGGCAGCAGUUGGGAAUAUUGGACAAUGGGCGCAAGCCUGGUCCAGCCAUACCGCGUGGGUGGAGGAGGCCUUCGGGUUGUAAAGCCCUUUUGUUGGGAAAGAAAAGCAGCCGGUUGAUACCCCGCUGUUCUGACGGUACCCAAAGAAUAAGCACCGGCUAACUUCGUG